CCUACGGGAGGCAGCAGUGGGGGAUAUUGCACAAUGGGGGGAACCCUGAUGCAGCGACGCCGCGUGGGUGAAGAAGCGCCUCGGCGCGUAAAGCCCUGUCAGCAGGGAAGAAAAUGACGGUACCUGAAGAAGAAGCCCCGGCUAACUACGUGCCAGCAGCCGCGGUAAUACGUAGGGGGCAAGCGUUAUCCGGAUUUACUGGGUGUAAAGGGGGCGCAGACGGCGAUGCAAGCCAGGAGUGAAAGCCCGGGGCCCAACCCCGGGACUGCUCUUGGAACUGCGUGGCUGGAGUGCAGGAGGGGCAGGCGGAAUUCCUGGUGUAGCGGUGGAAUGCGUAGAUAUCAGGAGGAACACCGGUGGCGAAGGCGGCCUGCUGGACUGCAACUGACGUUGAGGCCCGAAAGCGUGGGGAGCAAACAGGAUUAGAUCCCCCUGGUAGUC
Molecule: ribosomal RNA, 441 nt
Filed under: uncultured bacterium
Lineage: Bacteria
Description: partial 16S ribosomal RNA
Rfam family: Bacterial small subunit ribosomal RNA
Source: RNAcentral